CCUCUGCUAUGGUCUAUCCACAGCCCAGUAUUUCCCUAUGUCCAAUCCUGCUUGCCUCACGCCACACAGGUGUUGAUCCUGAGAACACACCACUGAUUCUCCCUGCAAACAAACCAUAGAAUCCCAGCAUCUCCUUCCUAGAGAACUCAACGGAAGACAAAUCUGAACAAACUGCGUUAUAGACAUCUGUAGCUGUGGAUGGAGAAGUAAAAGAUGACAGCAAAUCUAUUCUGACCAGUUGAUAUAACUGAAAAUUCAUGGGAGAUAGAAGUACCAUGGCUUUGAUGUCUACUCACUGAAAUGAGACUGCAGAGGCGCGAAGGGGCACAGGUAGAGGGGUGAGCGGAGAGGGGUGCCUGCGCUGCACUCACAACCAGCUCCACUUACGUUUUCAUCCUGUUCUUCAUCACUGUCGAAGUCACUCACGACAGGUUUGGCUUUUCCUCGAUUUGGCCUUUUCUUGCCUUUUCCUUUGUCCCGGCCUUUCUCAUCUUUUUUAUUGAGCUUGAUUUUUACUUUAACAGA
This is a long non-coding RNA of Talpa occidentalis (Iberian mole), 525 nucleotides long. RefSeq lists it as uncharacterized. The transcript has 3 exons. NCBI's taxonomy places the organism in Eukaryota, Metazoa, Chordata, Mammalia, Eulipotyphla, Talpidae. The record is from RefSeq and is a predicted model, not a curated record.